Molecule: small nucleolar RNA, 138 nt
Organism: Tachyglossus aculeatus (Australian echidna)
Lineage: Eukaryota; Metazoa; Chordata; Mammalia; Monotremata; Tachyglossidae
Source: RefSeq, a predicted model, not a curated record
AUCCUCUCAGGGUCACACCUGGAGAGUUCCCAGUACUCUACCUGUCUAGCCUAUAAGAGGGAGAGUCAAGCAGGGGCAUACUUAUUCCAUUCUUAGCUUGGGCAGUGGCUAGCGAGUGGAAGGCAAUCUGCUACAAGU